GGAAUGCGCAGCUACACAUGCAGUCGAGCGGUAGAGAGGUGCUUGCACCUCUUGAGAGCGGCGGACGGGUGAGUAAUGCCUAGGAAUCUGCCUGGUAGUGGGGGAUAACGCUCGGAAACGGACGCUAAUACCGCAUACGUCCUACGGGAGAAAGCAGGGGACCUUCGGGCCUUGCGCUAUCAGAUGAGCCUAGGUCGGAUUAGCUAGUUGGUGAGGUAAUGGCUCACCAAGGCGACGAUCCGUAACUGGUCUGAGAGGAUGAUCAGUCACACUGGAACUGAGACACGGUCCAGACUCCUACGGGAGGCAGCAGUGGGGAAUAUUGGACAAUGGGCGAAAGCCUGAUCCAGCCAUGCCGCGUGUGUGAAGAAGGUCUUCGGAUUGUAAAGCACUUUAAGUUGGGAGGAAGGGCAUUAACCUUAUACUUUCGCGUC
Molecule: ribosomal RNA, 434 nt
Filed under: Pseudomonas sp. EP_S_31
Lineage: Bacteria; Pseudomonadati; Pseudomonadota; Gammaproteobacteria; Pseudomonadales; Pseudomonadaceae
Description: bacterial SSU rRNA
Rfam family: Bacterial small subunit ribosomal RNA
Source: RNAcentral